RNAcentral lists this ribosomal RNA (454 nucleotides) under uncultured bacterium. Its description in RNAcentral is "partial 16S ribosomal RNA". It matches the Rfam family "Bacterial small subunit ribosomal RNA", at positions 28 to 507 of the family's 1533-position model. The record is from RNAcentral.
GAUGAACGCUGACAGAAUGCUUAACACAUGCAAGUCUACUUGAACUUCGGUUUGGGUGGCGGACGGGUGAGUAACGCGUAAAGAACUUGCCUCACAGUUAGGGACAACAUUUGGAAACGAAUGCUAAUACCUGAUAUUAUGAUUUUAGGGCAUCCUAAAAUUAUGAAAGCUAUAUGCGCUGUGAGAGAGCUUUGCGUCCCAUUAGCUAGUUGGAGAGGUAACGGCUCACCAAGGAGAUGAUGGGUAGCCGGCCUGAGAGGGUGAACGGCCACAAGGGGACUGAGACACGGCCCUUACUCCUACGGGAGGCAGCAGUGGGGAAUAUUGGACAAUGGACCAAAAGUCUGAUCCAGCAAUUCUGUGUGCACGAUGACGUUUUUCGGAAUGUAAAGUGCUUUCAGUUGGGAAGAAAAAAAUGACGGUACCAACAGAAGAAGUGACGGCUAAAUACGUG